CGUGCAGCUACGAGUUCCCCCGCACUGCAGUGUAUAAAAGAGGGCGAGGAGACACGGUUAGUCAGCUUGCUCCAGCGACAGUCCACCGAGCCGUGACAACGUCCUCGUCUGGUGCUCAAUUCCUUCGUGAAAGAAAAGUACAAUGUUCGUGUUGUCAAAGGACGUGCUUGUGGGAGUGGUCUGCCUCUUGGUGGUACUCCAAGCACAGGUAUCUCAGUCCCAGGGCGCUAGAAAAUGUGUAAAGAAAAUGAAUCCGGGAGACUCAAAAACGGUCAAGAUUCCGUGCAACGGGCAAACUAAAGGCUGCAAGCCAUUCUGCAAGAAAGAAUGCGACGGCUACAUCUUCAUGUGUGAGGGAGGUCAUCUGGAGGCAGACAUGCAGAAUGUCAACUUGGACUGUGAUUUAGAAAAGAUUGUGGUGAAUGACGGUUCAGGCCCAGUGAGCAUGUGCGAUCCGAUGGAUGAUAUCACUGCGGGAGAGAAGCUUACCAUCCGAUACAAGAAAUUAGGAGACGCCAGUUUCUUUGAUGAUGGCAGUUGCACAAGUACAAAACCUUGCAGAUGCUCCUACACUGUGACAUGUGUGGGUGAAACUACCACUACUGAUGCUACUACUACUCCUACUACUACUACUGCUUCUACUACUACUGUUACUCCUUCUACUACUACUGAUACGUGUCCCUAAGGUGACACUGGAUUAUGGUGACAGAAUGCUGAUGAUGACCACUGUGAUGACCAAGAUGAUGAUUAUAAACUUAUGACCAAAACACACUAUUGCACGUUAACGCACCAGCACAAAUAUAAAACGAUACCAGCAAGAAAA
Molecule: long non-coding RNA, 823 nt
Organism: Scylla paramamosain (green mud crab)
Lineage: Eukaryota; Metazoa; Arthropoda; Malacostraca; Decapoda; Portunidae
Exons: 4
Source: RefSeq, a predicted model, not a curated record